UCGUUGUCCCUUUCCUCCGUUGCUUCCCUUUUGGGUUGCAACGGGGACCUCGAAGCAGUCCCCGUGUCCCAUGUAGUCCUCAGCAUUUUGUUGUGGCUGCUGUGGUCCACGAGUGCUUGCUCGUUCUCUCGGAUGCGGAACACUACGUGAGAGUGGGAGUCCGCGACCCCCGAUCGCUCGAAAUUGUCCCUUUGACACGGAAGACGUCCGCAACUGUGCCAACCUUUGCCCCCGGGCUUUUAGGCGUGCGCACAGCUUGCGGUGU
Molecule: unclassified non-coding RNA, 265 nt
Filed under: Trema micranthum
Lineage: Eukaryota; Viridiplantae; Streptophyta; Magnoliopsida; Rosales; Cannabaceae
Description: partial external transcribed spacer
Source: RNAcentral